UACGUAGGCAGCGAGCGUUGUUCGGAGUUACUGGGCGUAAAGGGUGUGUAGGCGGUUGUUUAAGUUUUGUGUGAAAUCUCCCGGCUCAACUGGGAGGGUGCGCCGAAUACUGAAUGACUAGAGUGCGGGAGAGGAAAGUGGAAUUCCUGGUGUAGCGGUGAAAUGCGUAGAUAUCAGGAGGAACACCUGUGGCGAAAGCGGCUCACUGGACCAUAACUGACGCUGAUGCACGAAAGCUAGGGGAGCAAACAGG
This 253-nucleotide ribosomal RNA is filed under the name uncultured bacterium. Its description in RNAcentral is "partial 16S ribosomal RNA". It matches the Rfam family "Bacterial small subunit ribosomal RNA", at positions 524 to 776 of the family's 1533-position model. The record is from RNAcentral.